RNAcentral lists this ribosomal RNA (120 nucleotides) under Ipomoea nil (Japanese morning glory). Lineage: Eukaryota; Viridiplantae; Streptophyta; Magnoliopsida; Solanales; Convolvulaceae. The record is from RNAcentral.
GGAUGCGAUCAUACCAGCACUAAUGCACCGGAUCCCAUCAGAACUCCGAAGUUAAGCGUGGCUUGGGCGAGAGUAGUACUAGGAUGGGUGACCCCCUGGGAAGUCCUCGUGUUGCAUCCC